AGCGAACGCUGGCGGCAGGCUUAACACAUGCAAGUCGAGCGGGCAUCCUUGUGGUGUCAGCGGCAGACGGGUGAGUAACGCGUGGGAACGUGCCCUUCGGUUCGGAAUAACUCAGGGAAACUUGAGCUAAUACCGGAUACGUUCGAGAGCAGAAAGGUUUAUCUGCCGAAGGCUCGGCCCGCGUCUGAUUAGCUAGGUGGUGAGGUUAUGGCUCACCAAGGCGACGAUCAGUAGCUGGUCUGAGAGGAUGAUCAGCCACACUGGGACUGAGACACGGCCCAGACUCCUACGGGAGGCAGCAGUGGGGAAUAUUGGACACUGGAGGCAAACCUGAUCCAGCCAUGUGGGGUGAGUGAUGACGGCCUUAGGGUUGUAAAGCUCUUUUCUCCGGGACGAUAAUGACGGUACCGGAGGAAUAAGCCCCGGCUAACUUCGUG
RNAcentral lists this ribosomal RNA (437 nucleotides) under uncultured bacterium. RNAcentral's name for it is "partial 16S ribosomal RNA". It matches the Rfam family "Bacterial small subunit ribosomal RNA", at positions 29 to 507 of the family's 1533-position model. The record is from RNAcentral.